RNAcentral lists this unclassified non-coding RNA (320 nucleotides) under fungal sp. Its description in RNAcentral is "partial internal transcribed spacer region". The stretch from base 1 to 46 matches the Rfam family "Eukaryotic small subunit ribosomal RNA", at positions 1786 to 1831 of the family's 1831-position model. Lineage: Eukaryota; Fungi. The record is from RNAcentral.
AAGUCGUAACAAGGUCUCCGUAGGUGAACCUGCGGAGGGAUCAUUAACACUGGGAAGCGCACCAGCAAUGGUGCCGCCAACCAUUUCAACACCCAUACUAGCGUGAACUACUAUGACCCUUUUUGUCAUUCGAGCUGCUGACAGCAGCGGCUGUAGCGGCUGUUGUUGGUGACUCGAAUGAUUACUAUUGUUUUGCAACACCCUUUCCAACCGCAACAACUGUAACUGUGAACUAGUGUGCAUGCGAGAGCAUGUUUUCACUGUGAACUAUUACGAACUAUUAUAGAGUACAACUUUUAACAACGGAUCUCUUGGCUCUC